CAUGGGCUGUUGUGCUGGAGAGAACGAGAGCUACGAAGAGACUAGAAUGCCUCUGACUUUUUCAUAGGACAGUUGGCCGAGGAAGACACUUAAAGAUGAAGUGCUUAAUUCAAGGUCACAGAAUGUCGGGGAUGGACCUCCAGAUUUCCUUACUGGAAAACAAGCUCAGGGCUCCCACUGAUUGUACAUUAUGAGACAGAGUCUUCUUGCUAUGUUGCCCAGGCUGGUCUUGAACUCCUAACCUCAAGCGAUCCUCCCAUCUUGGCCUCCCAGGUGUCAGGAUUACAGGCAUGUGCUAUCACACCCAACCUGAUACAUUGCCUUUAUAAAUUUUUUUUUCUUUAUUCUAAAAAACAGAAAAAACAAAACUGGAUACAUGUGCAGAACAUGCAGCAGGGAAUUUCUUCCACUUGCAGACCAAGUGUGUUGGGGACUUGAGAUAUGUACAUGAGUGUUUGUGAUGUUUCCUGGUGAAAGCACAGGUGAGACGUGGUCUUGUAACACAGUGGUUA
RNAcentral lists this non-coding RNA (512 nucleotides) under Pongo abelii (Sumatran orangutan). Lineage: Eukaryota; Metazoa; Chordata; Mammalia; Primates; Hominidae. The record is from RNAcentral.